UACAGAGGUCCCAAGCGUUGUUCGGAUUCACUGGGCGUAAAGGGUGCGUAGGCGGUCGGGUAAGUCUGAUGUGAAAUCUCACAGCUUAACUGUGAAACUGCAUUGGAUACUAUCCGGCUCGAGGAAUGGAGGGGAGACUGGAAUACUUGGUGUAGCAGUGAAAUGCGUAGAUAUCAAGUGGAACACCAGUGGCGAACGCGAGUCUCUGGACAUUUCCUGACGCUGAGGCACGAAAGCCAGGGGAGCAAACGGG
Molecule: ribosomal RNA, 253 nt
Filed under: uncultured bacterium
Lineage: Bacteria
Description: partial 16S ribosomal RNA
Rfam family: Bacterial small subunit ribosomal RNA
Source: RNAcentral